Non-coding RNA from Salmo salar (Atlantic salmon), 1584 nucleotides. The record is from RefSeq and is a predicted model, not a curated record. Lineage: Eukaryota; Metazoa; Chordata; Actinopteri; Salmoniformes; Salmonidae.
CAUGCGUGCUGUGUUUUUGUUGUCAACUUCUGUCUGCAAUUGCAUUAAAUAAAGGUUUGAUUGAUUUACUUAAAGAAGAUAUUGCCUGACUGCUGAUUUCACCAAUAAGCCAAAGAUUGACAAGGGAGAAGGAACAUACCACGACAGUCCCAUGGUGUUUAUACUUGCAUACUAUUGUUUGUACAAAUGAACGUGGUACCUUCAGGCAUUUCGAAAUUGCUCCCAAGGAUCAACCAGACUUGUGGAUGUCUACAAUUGUUUUUCUGAAGUCUUGGCAGAUUUCUUUUGAUUUUCCCAUGAUGUCAAGCAAAGAGGCACUGAGUUUGAAGAUUGCUGGAUGAUACGGUACAAUUAAUUGCAUACAAGGUUCAUAGUCUGUGUCUUGAGAUAACACCCAAGGAUGAAAAUGAAAGAGACGGAAUGGAGAUCAGCAUCACAUGGGCAUAGAAUGGAGUGGAUGGACAGUUCUUUCCCCAGUCUUAGGUGGAAGCGGCACAUGAGGAGCAGGGGAUAACCGAUGGCACGGGCGGAAUUCUGGAGAUUGAGUAUACAUCAAGAUACCAGGCGGGGGUGUUGGGACAGCGUUGGUCUGGUCCACACACAGUACUCCUUACAGCACCUGCAGCGGUAAAGAUCGUCACGCCGCUCCUCGGUGGGUGCAUAGUUCUCACGUGAAGUGGGGUCCAGCUGCAUAAUGGGUGUGCUUGAAGACGUCAUGACAGAGGAAGCGGAGCUAAUGAGAGAAAGAAAGACUAGAUUCACUGUAGAUAGACAGAUGGGUUGGGUCUGGGAGCUACUUUAAACACCAUAGUUGGGUUGGGUUAGCUGCUUUAUUGGUUAAUGCAUCAUAUGAAAGGAUCGAUUUUGGGGUAAUUGUACUCUAAACAACAUUUUGGAGGCAUUGAUGUGAAAGUCAAGCCAUGGUUGAAGCCGUUUUAGGUUUGGUAUAUAAAGACCCGGUAUUCUCUGUAUGAUUCAAGCGCUCGGUCCGACAGUCAAGGCUGUUGGGCUGACGGUUUCAUCAUUGCAUAAAGAUGAUUGUUUGAAGAAAUGACCAAGUCUCUCUCAGUACUGAAUUUCCAUGGCAACAGCCAAUAUAUCUCUGUUGCUAGUCAGGAACUUAAUUGGUUCCUCUCGCUGGUGUAGUCAUUGUGUGUGUUAUAGGACUGUUCCAUCUCACUUCAUCUUACCUGACCUCAGGCCGAAUUCCUCGCUCCUCCCAACUCCAAGGCUGUCCUACCUUAUCAGUGACUGAAACCAGACUGUUGCCCUUUGCCUCCCGCCUUAGAAUCCAUGAGAUUUAACAAUAACAUAUUUGACAGAAUGUAAACUUCCUGCCUCCCCCUCUUGUCUCACUCAGUAACUUUCCAUACACUUAGUUCUUAUCCACCCUCCAUUUACCAGCAUAUACAGUACCAGUCAAAAGUUUGGACACCUACUCAUUCCAGGGUUUUUCUUUAUUUUUACUAUUUUCUACAUUGUAGAAUAAUAGUGAAGACUUCAAAACUAUGAAAUAACACAUAUGGAAUCCUGAAGUAACCAAAAAAGUGUUAAAUAUACUGCUCAAAAAAAUAAAGGGAACAC